Molecule: long non-coding RNA, 539 nt
Filed under: Pan troglodytes (chimpanzee)
Lineage: Eukaryota; Metazoa; Chordata; Mammalia; Primates; Hominidae
Description: lincRNA
Source: RNAcentral
GUCUCGCGCGCGCGGGAAGCGGAGGUGGAAGUCGGGGCGCAGGAAUGUGGCUGUCCCCGCCUGUAAAUCAUGGUUGGGGAGGAGUCGCGGAGGCACCAGGCUGGGGUCUGCAGCGCGCCAUCUGCUGCAGCACACAGGAGGCGCUGAGGCUAGUUGGGUUCAAGCGAUUCUCAUGCCUCAGCCACUUGAGUAGCUGGGACUACAGGAUUUUGCCAUGUUCCCCAGGCUGGUCUCAAACUCCUGAACUCAGGCAGCCCGCCUACCUUGGCCUCCCAAAGUGCUAGGAUUACAGGUAUGAACCACCGCGCCCGGCCAGUUUCUUAAUUCUUAGACUAAAUCUACGGGGGACACACUUUUGCCAACAUUAGCUGCAAAGGGUUUUUUCCUCCACACUUAAGUCACAGUCAGUAAGUAGUUUUUUUUUUUUUUUUCCCCUGUGUUUUUGUUUCCUUGUUUGUUUUUAUUUGGGAAAAUGCCUCUUUUGAUAGUAAUGAAUUAUUUUUUACACGCAAGGUCAAAAACAGCAUGGAGUGAAUUUU